GUGUUCCCGUGCCAGCACUGUGCUAACCUUGCAGAAACUAAAACCGUCUCUUGGCUUUUGUAAUAAUGCUUUCAGAAUACAUACAAGAAAAAAGGUAACAGCCCUAGAUUGUAAAGACUGGGGUGGACCUCUUUCUUUCUUUCUUUCUUUCUUUUUUUUUGAGUUGGAGUCUCACUC
RNAcentral lists this small nucleolar RNA (177 nucleotides) under Carlito syrichta (Philippine tarsier). Its description in RNAcentral is "Small nucleolar RNA SNORA81 (ENSTSYG00000027046.1)". It matches the Rfam family "Small nucleolar RNA SNORA81". The record is from Rfam by way of RNAcentral. Lineage: Eukaryota; Metazoa; Chordata; Mammalia; Primates; Tarsiidae.